UUUAAAGUGGUACGCGAGCUGGGUUUAGAACGUCGUGAGACAGUUCGGUCCCUAUCUGCCGUGGGCGCUGGAGAAUUGAGGGGGGCUGCUCCUAGUACGAGAGGACCGGAGUGGACGCAUCACUGGUGUUCGGGUUGUCAUGCCAAUGGCACUGCCCGGUAGCUAAAUGCGGAAGAGAUAAGUGCUGAAAGCAUCUAAGCACGAAACUUGCCCCGAGAUGAGUUCUCCCUGAGACUUUAAGUCUCCUGAAGGAACGUUAAAGACGAUGACGUUGAUAGGCCGGGUGUGUAAGCGCAGCGAUGCGUUGAGCUAACCGGUACUAAUGAACCGUGAGGCUUAACCUUACAACGCCGAAG
This 356-nucleotide ribosomal RNA is filed under the name Klebsiella pneumoniae. RNAcentral describes it as "partial 23S ribosomal RNA". It matches the Rfam family "Bacterial large subunit ribosomal RNA", at positions 2587 to 2925 of the family's 2925-position model. The record is from RNAcentral. Lineage: Bacteria; Pseudomonadati; Pseudomonadota; Gammaproteobacteria; Enterobacterales; Enterobacteriaceae.